Molecule: transfer RNA, 62 nt
Filed under: Alligator sinensis (Chinese alligator)
Lineage: Eukaryota; Metazoa; Chordata; Crocodylia; Alligatoridae
Rfam family: tRNA
About the family: Transfer RNA (tRNA) molecules are approximately 80 nucleotides in length. Their secondary structure includes four short double-helical elements and three loops (D, anti-codon, and T loops).
Source: Rfam by way of RNAcentral
GCAGUUUAGUGGUAGAAUCCUUGCCUGCCAUGCAGGAGACCCGGGUUCAAAUCCUGGAUGCA